Nicotiana tabacum (common tobacco) is the source of this 1947-nucleotide non-coding RNA. NCBI's taxonomy places the organism in Eukaryota, Viridiplantae, Streptophyta, Magnoliopsida, Solanales, Solanaceae. The record is from RefSeq and is a predicted model, not a curated record.
AGAGUGAUUAUACAAUAUCAUUUUUUUCAAUAAAUACAUGUUCCAUAUGUGCGGUGAAAUCCCGACAAUGGUAGCGGAGAGCUGAGGCGUGAGUUUUAGACCAGGUAUAACAAUCCAAUCCCUCUUUUUGAGUUACGGUGUUGCAUUUUAUAUUUUGAAAUUUCUCAUAGGUUUAUAUGAUAUUUUGGGACUUUUUGCUAUGUUAUGAAAUUUUAGCAACUUUCUUGGAUUUUGACAAGAUGCUCUUGACCUAGAGAUCCUAAAAGGUGUAUAUUCGACCUACAAUUCAGUGUAAUGAUUGUCUACAUUAGUAUUGAGAUUAUACUAGAUUUUUACGACAUUUGAACCAUGAAAACAUCAGAUUCAAGAGCUAAAAUUGGGUAUUUUUGAUCCAAGUCCUAAAAGAGGAAAUCGGACAUUUGGACUGUAAAUGAUAUCAGAAUGAGAAUCUUAUUAUAGAUUUGGAAUCAUUGGCUAAUGCAUAACUUAUUUAUGAAACUUAUUUCAAUAUUUGUUUAGUUGACCCGAGGGUUAGCUUUUGAAUUGGUCAACCGUUGACUUUGACUUCAGAGCGUCCUAAAAUUCAGGUGCAUUUUGCUUAAAUUAAGGGAAUUGGACGGCAUCUUUGUUGACUUGGAUGUUUCAACUUAAGUAAAGAUUUGUCAUUUAGACGCAAGUGAAACUUUAACUCUUGGAUUACUUAUAUUUCUUAAAAGGCAUGUUAUUUGUGAUGUGUAUAUGCGUUUGGGGACAUCCGAUGAAAAAAAUGCUUUUAUGAUACCUUCAAUAACGUAUGAUAUUUGAGAUAUUUAUUUAGUAGUUCGCAUUUAUAAUCAUAUGCAUAGCAUCAUUUACAGCUUGGGCAUAUUAUGCCACCUCAGUUAUUGCAUUUUUAUAUUAUUAAGUGCUUACCGGGUAAAAUAUGUGGUUGAUGCGUCUGCGCUAGGCAUGUAAGAACAGGAAACUAGUGCUCCGGAGAUUGGUAAGACAUAGGAAUGUUCAAAACUGAACUGAAACCGUAACCGAAUCGAUGGCUUAUUGUCUUGAUGGUAUUGGAUUAUAAGGGUAAUGAAUGGUGAGCGGAUUGAAAUUUUAUAAUUAAUGGUUCAGCUUUUUGGGGGCGAAUUACUCAAUUUUUUUAUCGAGUAAACUGUUAAUCCAUUAUGAAUUUUUAUAUUUUGGCAUAUAUUGUAGCACAUUAAAGUUAGGCAGAGCUGUAGUAAGAUGGAUGAAGCUAGUUUUCAUCAUGUUUAUGUUGGAUUAUGGGUUGUGGGUGGCUUCAUGUGGGUUGAUCCAACCCGAUUAGGAGAGAUAAGUGGGAGGGGUUAAGGGAACUUACCAUAAAAUCACAAACUCCCAAUAAAGUGAACGGCAAAAGGGGAGUGAUGGAUUAUCUUCCUUAACCGCUAUUUACUCUGCCUAAUUAUGUUAUAGAGAAAACACAAAACUUUUUUAAGCGUUGUAAUUUUCUCUCUGACUAAUCCUUUCUGCAGAAAAAACACACACAAGUUAGAACAUCUAAUUGGUGGAAGAUUAACUUUAUUUCCUAGUGAUUCAAAGGUUGAUUUGGGGCAAUUCCUUUGGUGGUCGAAUUACUCCAAGUGGGAGUUCUCGAAGUCAAGAAAGGGGACAACGUAGAAGGAUACAUCGUCGCGGGACUUAUUUCUAUAAUGAUUCAGACUCGGAGCCUGAAGUCAUCAGGAAUGUCCAAAGGGUGAGGCAAAAUGAGUCAAGGGAUCAAAGGGCUUAACGAAGGGAAGGAGAAAAGAAAUUUAGGGAAUUUAAAAUGGACCCUGAUGUUUUCUUUCCUGAACGUGUACACUUUUUUCAGUUAAAAAUAGCUGAAUUGGCAAAUUACGUAGAAAUUACUGAUUGGGAAGCAUUAGCUAUUUUAGCGAACUCUCUUUGAGAAUCUUGGGGUGAAAUUUUAACUGAGAUUUAUCAUGA